Molecule: ribosomal RNA, 387 nt
Filed under: uncultured bacterium
Lineage: Bacteria
Description: bacterial SSU rRNA
Rfam family: Bacterial small subunit ribosomal RNA
Source: RNAcentral
AUUGAACGCUGGCGGCAUGCCUUACACAUGCAAGUCGAGCGGCAGCGCGGGGGCAACCCUGGCGGCGAGCGGCGAACGGGUGAGUAAUACAUCGGAACGUGUCCAGUAGCGGGGGAUAACCUGUCGAAAGAUAGGCUAAUACCGCGUACGACCUACGGGUGAAAGCGGGGGACCGCAAGGCCUCGCACUAUUGGAGCGGCCGAUGUCGGAUUAGCUAGUUGGCGGGGUAACGGCCCACCAAGGCGACGAUCCGUAGCUGGUCUGAGAGGACGACCAGCCACACUGGAACUGAGACACGGUCCAGACUCCUACGGGAGGCAGCAGUGGGGAAUUUUGGACAAUGGGCGCAAGCCUGAUCCAGCCAUGCCGCGUGAGUGAAGAAGGCCU